Molecule: long non-coding RNA, 2600 nt
Organism: Panicum virgatum (switchgrass)
Lineage: Eukaryota; Viridiplantae; Streptophyta; Magnoliopsida; Poales; Poaceae
Exons: 3
Source: RefSeq, a predicted model, not a curated record
CGAGGAUGUCCCCGUUUUACCCCUCUGUGUCUCGUGGACCGGCCUUGAUCCCACCCAGGUCUCAUUCACCAACUCGUCCUCUUCUCUCCUCUGUCCUGAUCUCCUCUCGGCAGCGGUGAAACCAUAGCUGUAGUGUCAGCGGCGGCGGCAGCACAUCGAUGAUCCCAUCAAAUCCCCCCCCCCCAAAUCCAGUUGCUAGAAGAGGAGUAGAUGGGUUAGUGAGGGAGGAAGCAAGGUGCUGGAUCUGUGGCCACGCACCCUGCAUGUAGCCUCUCGGAUUCGCAAUGGCUCGAGCGGAGGGGAAACCUGCAUGGCAUCCAGAAGGGUGAGUGUUCCUUUUCCUUCUUCUUUUCAAGGAUUUUGUGGUGUUCUUGUAGAUGCUAGGGUUAGUGUAGUUUGGUAAAUGCAAAUCGAUAGUAAUGCCUCCAUUGGUGCGUGUUAUAGGAUGGACCCAUAAAUGAGCUACAACUUAGAAAUAAGCAUUAUUGCCUACAAUACUCGAAGCAAAAGGUUUAGCUUUUCAAAGGUUGUUGACACCGACACAACAAAUUUCAAAGAUCUGCUGGAGGAAAUUCAGGAAAAGUACCCUUGUGGGUAUGGAGAUUUAGUGAAAUUGUUCUACUAUGCUGCUAACACCAAGUCCAACAUUGAAGCGAUAAUUGACCAGGAAUUACUUGACAUGUUUGCCAAACAUGUCAGUACCAAGACAUGCUGCUUGUCCAUUGCUUAUCAUCCUCCUAGUAGUGAGCCACCAACCAUACCAAUAUGGGAUGAUUGUGAUGAUUUCCCAUGCACCCCUUCUUUGCCAGUUUCUUUAGCAGUAGAUGCAAGCCAUAGCCACUUCAAAUAGACACCGGGUUGUAAUGAGGUCAACGCUGAGGACAAGAAACUAGAUAACCCUAAACCAGAAAUGAACAUGUUGGUGUAGAUGAGGAAGGGUUGUACAUUGACAUUAGCACAUAGAAUGACCCAGCUGCUGAAGGUGCUGAAUAUGGUAAUGCUAAGGCAGACCCGGACUAUGAAGGGCUUUCGGACUCUGAGGCAGACUCUGACUCUAAUUUUGACUAUGUGGAUGAUGAGGCUGAUGAGAUGGUGAGAGAUAAAUUGCCACCUCAUAAUCCUAAAAUAGUGUAUGACAAAGCUGACCCAUUUGAAUGCUUUUAAGUUGGCCUUAGCAACCCAUGCAAUAAGGACUGAGUUUGAGUUUAACAUUCAUAAGAAUGAACCAUGGAGGUACAGGGCAUAUUGCAGUGGGAGAGCUGAAGGUUGUAGAUGGAGGAUUCAUGCUUCUACAAUGGGAGACAACACAACAGUGAAGGUGAAAGGACUUGCUCAUGUUGGGCUUGGCAAGUAUCUGGACUACCUUGACAGCCUGCUCUUGUCUUCAUUACAAGGAUUAGUAGAGGGAAAAUUGAAGAUCAUGUGGACCACUUCUAUUCAGUUGAAAAGUUCAGAGCAGCAUAUGAGGGCAUCAUCCCUGCUAUACCUGACAUGGCCAUGUGGCCCAAAUCUGACCAUGGAUUUUUCAUGUAUCCACCUCUACUGAAGGCAACAGCCGGUAGGAGGAGGUAGAAUAGGUACAAAUCAAGUGCAGAAGGUGCCACUAGCACAAAUGUCCAAGUCAUGACUAUGGCCAUCACUGGUACACUUGCAAAGGAGAUCCUACUGACAUUGCAGCAGUGCUUGCUAAAAGGGGACCCCCAAAGAGGAUGAAAACGACACAACCAGCCUCUAUUGAAAGAAGUCUUGUGCCCGUCUCUGACCCUAUGACAACCUAGAAUUGUUUUCCCAGUAUUGCCCAGUACAACAUCUUCUAGGAACCAAAGGAACAACACAAGUAGCACAAAAUCAGCUGUUGCAAAGAAGAGGAAGAGCACAAGCACAAAAUCAGCUGCUGCAAAGAAGAAAAAGAGCACUACACCAUCUACAGCUUCGGACUUUGUCAAGUUAGCUAGACCAUCUACAGCUGCAGCCUGCAACAAAGAAGAAAAGGAGCACUACACCAUCUUGUUAUGUUCUAACUAUGUUCACCUAUAUGUCUGCAGUAAAAGAUCUGCUACUAGUUCUAACCAGUUGGAUGUUGUCACUAUGAGCACUGAGUUUCCAGAUGGACGCAUGCAGCAGGAUUAGCCCAUUUGUGGUGAAAAGAGUUCCAAGCUACCUAACAGGAAAAAAAAAAGGAAGCAACUACUAUGGUGGAAGCCCAAGGCCUUGGAUACAAGAAGCAAGGUCCGCAGUUCUCCAGACAACCCUGCAAUGGGAACAAGGAGCAAGAGGAAGCUUCAUAUCACUUAAUUUGCAAUGUUUCAUGGGUGACAAAGAACAUUUUGUAAAGUGAUGAUCCUUUUGGUACUUUGAUUGGUUCUUUCGGAACUUGUUGCAUCAUUCUGGAUGACAAAAAAAACUGAAGAACAAACUCCUGGAUAUGGUCUAGUUCAGCUCUGGAUGUGCUACACGUUGUAAGGUUUGUGGACGUGGUCAGGUUUAUCUAGAUGACUAAAACUAUGAUCUUGUUAUUUCGAAUGUUAGUAUCUGGUUGUGCAAUGGUCUAUGGACAUGAACACACUCCAACUUAUUCACAUUUUUCAUUCACCCAUCCA